GCAACCGUAGCUCAGUCUGGUAGAGCCACCGCCUAAACGACGGACGUCGCCGGUUCAAAUCCGGCCGGUUGCC
RNAcentral lists this transfer RNA (73 nucleotides) under Lacticaseibacillus rhamnosus. RNAcentral's name for it is "Lactobacillus rhamnosus tRNA-Leu". It matches the Rfam family "tRNA". Rfam says of the family: Transfer RNA (tRNA) molecules are approximately 80 nucleotides in length. Lineage: Bacteria; Bacillati; Bacillota; Bacilli; Lactobacillales; Lactobacillaceae. The record is from RNAcentral.